GAUAGAGGGUGCGAACGUUGCUCGGAAUUACUGGGCGUAAAGCGCGUGUAGGCGGGUGAUCAAGUCAGGUGUGAAAUCCCCAGGCUCAACCUGGGAACUGCACUUGAAACUGGUCGCCUUGAGUGUUGGAGAGGGAAGCGGAAUUCCUGGUGUAGAGGUGAAAUUCGUAGAUAUCAGGAGGAACACCGGUGGCGAAGGCGGGUCUCUGGGCCGAUACUGACGCUGAAGCGCGAAAGCUAGGGGAGCGAACGGG
This 253-nucleotide ribosomal RNA is filed under the name uncultured bacterium. Its description in RNAcentral is "partial 16S ribosomal RNA". It matches the Rfam family "Bacterial small subunit ribosomal RNA", at positions 524 to 776 of the family's 1533-position model. The record is from RNAcentral.